UGAAAGUGUGCGCGUAUGCAAAAGUUCACGAGCAUCCGUCGCGAACUAAGCUCGUCCGAAGGCUUGGCAAAAAAUUGAUAAGAGUUAAGGAAACUGAACAAGCACACAACUAUCACCACUGCUUCAAACUAAUUCCUCUUCGUUAUUUGGCGCAAAGCAUAAAAGCUCGCUCAGUUUGAAGACCACUCCAGUUCAUUUUCAUAUUAUUAAAGGUUGUGAGUUGUGAGGCCAAAAAUAGAAGACAGCUGAGGCAAGCGCGAAAUGGCAACAGCACGACACCAACCGCGAUAUAGAAGAAGGGGCACAUCUCGCGGCAUAUACAAGCGUGCUGAUUUUUUUGCAGUGAUCCCUCCGUGAAUCUCUCGUGGUGCUAUCUAGUUUCCAUAGCUAGAACGAACCCCGCAGCAUUCUCACUCUGGCGGAAGAGUGUGCAAAAUCACUAUUGCGAAUUUGCGAAUUUACCUUCUACGCUCCUCUGCUCCCUGGGUAUAUUGGCAAAGUCACAUCGGCGAUGGACGGGUUCCUGAAGGACAAAUGACGUAUUUUGCGAAUAGGACAAGCGUUAGAAGCGGCCUACAAAAGACGAUCUCGUUUGGUGAGCAGACCGAGAAGUGCCAAGCGGCCUGGCCUGGUGCUGCAAAAUUCGCUCAACAAAGCUCGCCGAUUUAAAGGCGAGGCUUUGAUUUGCCAAAAUUCAGCUCGACUGGUCGAAAACAAGGCCCAACUCGGCGUCAUACCAAGUUCAUCUCACCUGGCCGGGUGGAAGGAAGAGAGCGAGAAUUACAAAAAUCGAACUCUCUGUUGGAGGAAAAUGCUCUGAGUAAAACCUCUCUUUGGCGGGAAAACAAAUGUUUCGAGUAACAGGCGUUCAUGAAAUCCUAGGAGUACGCGCAGCGGUGAGAGCGACGAGUUCGUGCUUCCAUAUUUCAACAUGAGGGCGAUAACCUGUAUAUCGCACGGAGCUGCGAUUGUUGCAGUUUAAAGACAAAAUGAGCGUACAAAUAAACCGCUGGCAGUAAAAAGCGUAAUCAAGCGAAAAUUAGUUUUGUGCAGGAUGCAGAUAAGAGCUGAUUUCCGCCCACGCUGCACCAAACAUAUAUAAAAUGGCCAAAAUGCAACGACAGUGCGUUAGUAGUUGUCAAAAUAAGCUGAAUUAGUUAUCAUUUCAAGCGUGCAUGUGCAUAUAUGCGUACUCGCAGAACACACGUCAUGCAUUGCACAUUUUUCCAAACCAAAUUUCGCAGUCUCAAGAAGGCAACUGUGAGCAAAAGCAUCAUGGAGGCGAUGUUGACGAAUUAGCACGUUGUGAUAACUGCCCGGCAAGCGAAAUCAGGGACAUUGGCCGAGUGCUAUUCGCUAGGCUGAACCUGGGACUAGUGCUGACCAUAACGGAAGGCGUGACCAACACCUGGUGACACCAAUGCACCGAUCGCAAAUUUAUUUGGGAGCCAUUUUGAGGUCUCCUUUGUGUUUGGAGAUAGAGACGGCAUUUGGCGUCGCAACUCUCAGCCGCGGUGUGUAUCGGGUUUUCAGAGGCCUCAACUCGCGUAGGAGGUCGCUCCAGCACCGACAACUGUGCGCUUGUCUGUUCAGGACAUUGACUCUUGCCAGUAUCGAGCUGGAGAGAGCCACGUCCGCGAAGGCGGCUGCAGAGGCCGGCUUCGGCACCAAAAAGGUCAUCGAGGUCUUACAGACCCUUUCCGAGGGUUUUUUGCGAGGGUAGGCUGGAAUCCAGCAAUGCCAACAGGAUGGGAAUUGUUUCCGCCGGUUCUUUCGCGCAGGGGGUGGCUGCAUUGUAGGGGAUACGACCACCCCCAAAGCUGCCGCGGGGAAAGUGGAUCACAGGCAGCCGCAAUCAGCUGCUGCCGACCAACCUCGGCUAUCAGAUGUAUCCAAUGAGAAAGGACGAAUAGAGGCCAUUCCGUAAGCAGAAAGGCCCCCGAGCGGUUCACACGCAUCAGGAUCGCAUAAAACUCAAGCGAGCCGAAUAAUGUGCUCCGCGCUCGCGAGUAAAGUCAGAAUGUAAGCGAUAUCUCGCGCGUGGAUCGGUGCUGCCAUCAAGCGGAAUUUAUAGCAAGCAGCCUGCAUUGCAAUUCUAUUAUAGGCUCAAUUAAGAAGCAAAUUUAUGGAUUUCCAAUGCUGGGAACAUUGAACAGUGCAAUAAGUUCAAUGCAAUGGGAAUAAUUCGAAAAAUCUACAUUUCCGUCAUUAAUUUCGUGAUUGCUAAGACUGUAAUAAAUUAUCAGGCAGCUUCAAAAGGAGGACAAUCCUUCCCAUUAUAACUCCUGAUUCUCGUCCAGACCUAAUAUUCAUUUACUAUAAUUUUAUGCGUUAUGGCUAUAUUUAUAUCCCAAAUGAUAAUGGUUUAUCAUUAGAUUAAUUCUUUACUGCCAUUAGUUCAUUUUUUUCUGCGAUUAGACUUUAUUUGCUUGAGGUCAAUUAUUGGCGAUCCCGUCAAGAAGUAUGGCUUAUGUAAUCCUCAUUGAAUGACUGUAAUGCGGCACAGUUUCGACUUGUGUGUAAGGCGAAGCCAGUAGACAGAUUUUUCGCCAUCCAAUUUAAAAAUAAUAUCCCUUUCACGUGAGAGGUUGGGUCAAUCCGGCAGUGCUCCCAUAUAUUUCUAGAGAUGGUUUGUAGUGCUUUAGUAAGUGUGCUUAAGAUAGAUUUUCCUUUUCCUCCUAAUAAAUCCAAUUACGAGAAAUGCACCAUAUUUUCUUAACAAUAUAUAGCAUUAGGAAACCUACUGUCAGAAAUGUACUACUUAAAUUAAUUUGUUUAAGUCGAUGCCCAAUUAUUUAUCCCCCAUUCAUGUCGGUUUGAGGGGUAUUUUUUUCAACAAUGAUUUUAAAUUUUAAAGUAGAGAAUUUGGGAUUUAGGUUUAGUUUCAAAGUAAUUCUAUUAUGGUUCUGCAGGGCUAUUUUGCCCCAUAGUAAAGUAAAGCGUGUCUUACAAAGCUAAUUUUUUAUGUUGCAAUUUCCAAAUUAGUUUGUUAAUCAGAAAUUUAUUCUUGCGACAGAAAAUAAUGUCCUGUGUGCUGCACUGCUCCAGCGCAAGUAAAAUGAUAUAUUAAAUUCUUGGCAAGCAUACAUGCAGCAGCAAAAAAGAGAGCAAGAAAUUCUUCGCAGUGAGUACUUCUUAAAAAAAAAACAAGUCAUCUUUGUUCUUUUCUAAAGAAACGCGAGAGUUCAAAGCAAACAAGCACAACAUAUUAGAUAGUGCAGCAGAGGAAAUAAAAUCACGUUUUCGUUCCUUUUGCAUACAACCAUUGUCAAAAUGACAUUUUAAAAAAGAAUACCAGCGAAGAAUAUUUCAACGGCACAGUUGAAUAUAAUAGCUCAUUUUGGAUUGUAAUUUUACAGGUAUAAAUGACUCAGAAAUAAAAGUAUUUAUAUUAUUUAUUGAAUCUUUCUAAAGCGGUUUAUUGAAAAACACAAUAAUGACAUGAAUUUUACCAUUAAGUGUUCGUGCAGCAAAACUAGAUAAUACUGUCAACACCAUCAUUAUUUUUCCUCCCCACUCGUUGAUUAAGUGCAGCGGGGUUCACGUGUGAUUAAAAUUUUUGAAUAGCGGCUCUCGUUCGCAAUCAGUGGGUGCAACGAACGGCAGCAGGGCUUGACGGGGCGAGGUCACUCAAGGUCGUUGGGGUCUGCUGCGGCAGUAGAGGAGCACCGCCAGAGUGCAGAAGUACGCGGCGGGGCUCAAUUCACUCCGCACGCGCUCUGUAUUGCCGCAAACCAGUCGAUAUCGCCCCUUGCCACGCCUUCCUCCCUCUCGCCGGCGGUGGCGGCCCUUCUGCCACCCCCGCACGGACGACCGAUCCUUGCGAAUCGCGCCACCCUCGGCGUCGCGUAUUUAUUUGCAAUUCUACCUUUUCUGUCGUCGCACGUGCGAUAUCAAAGAUACGUGUUAAUGUACUUGCUUUGAGAUUUUGCACCACAAU
Cloeon dipterum is the source of this 3940-nucleotide long non-coding RNA. RefSeq lists it as uncharacterized. The record is from RefSeq and is a predicted model, not a curated record. Lineage: Eukaryota; Metazoa; Arthropoda; Insecta; Ephemeroptera; Baetidae. The transcript is spliced from 3 exons.